CCCAAAGACACAGAUUUGCUUUCUGCCUUUAAAAAUUUUCACUUUCCAUGUUAUUAGAUGGAAACUAAUUUGCAUCUAGUUCUAGUUACGUUUCCCCAGUUGACCUCAAAGACAUUGGAUACUGUUCUUUGUUCAGGCGUAAAUCUAAUUUCCUUUCUUAAUGGUUCUGAAUGUUAACGCCUUUGCAGGAGCCUCAGGAAACCCAGCCAGCAUACCAGGAGCAGCAGCAGUUUGGCCCAUGCCACUAUGAGAUGAAACAGUUUCUGGAGUGUGCCCAGAACCAGGGUGACUUGAAGCUUUGUGAAGGUUUCAGCGAGGUGCUGAAACAGUGCAGAUUUGCAAAUGGAUUAGCCUAAUCAAGAAGUUCAAAUUGAAGAUAAGGAAAAUCAUCUCUCAUAACCAAGUUAAUUUAGCAUAAAAAUAUAAUUGAUGGUGAAUGGUGAAUAUAUAAAGUGUAAAACCACCAGUUAAGCUUCUCCUUCAUCAUUAAAUACAGCUUUCUUCAGAAUUGGAAUAAAAAAGGUUGUUCUUACUGUAUAGAAGUUCAUUGAGAUGGUUUGAAUUUGGGAUUGGGCAGAUAUUUGUGUGCCUCCUUAAAUCACCUUUUGUGAUGUUCUCAUUUGUGAAUUAGAAUAAAGUGAUUUUCUCCCAAAAUGUGUCUUUGAAGUGUAAGAUUAUAAAUUGAUAACGGUAUUUGCAUUUUGCAAAAGUACUCCAUUGUCUUAACAUGUCUUUAAGCAUAUCCGUUUUAUAGUCUCAGUAUUAAAUUCGCAUCCAUCUGGAUGAUCUGGCCGGGCUCCCUGAGCUUUUGUAGAAAAGUAGUUCUGUAAGGAGUAGCUCACUAGUAAACAUAGUGCUCUUUAAAAAAGGUUCCAGGUGGCAGG
This is a long non-coding RNA of Callorhinus ursinus (northern fur seal), 884 nucleotides long. RefSeq lists it as uncharacterized. The record is from RefSeq and is a predicted model, not a curated record. NCBI's taxonomy places the organism in Eukaryota, Metazoa, Chordata, Mammalia, Carnivora, Otariidae.